RNAcentral lists this ribosomal RNA (194 nucleotides) under uncultured Bacillus sp. Its description in RNAcentral is "partial 16S ribosomal RNA". It matches the Rfam family "Bacterial small subunit ribosomal RNA", at positions 338 to 524 of the family's 1533-position model. The record is from RNAcentral. Lineage: Bacteria; Bacillati; Bacillota; Bacilli; Caryophanales; Bacillaceae.
CCUACGGGAGGCAGCAGUAGGGAAUCUUCGGCAAUGGACGAAAGUCUGACGGAGCAACGCCGCGUGAGCGAAGAAGGCCUUCGGGUCGUAAAGCUCUGUUGUUAGGGAAGAACUUGUACCGGAGUAACUGCCGGUACCUUGACGGUACCUAACCAGAAAGCCACGGCUAACUACGUGCCAGCAGCCGCGGUAAU